Pogona vitticeps (central bearded dragon) is the source of this 3438-nucleotide non-coding RNA. The record is from RefSeq and is a predicted model, not a curated record. Lineage: Eukaryota; Metazoa; Chordata; Lepidosauria; Squamata; Agamidae.
CUAUGGAAGAGCUCUCUUUUCUUCACAGCCAGUGUGGUGUAGUCGUUAACGCAUCGGACAAAAGCGUGGAACACUUGGGUCAAAAUCCCCAAUCGGCCGUGAAGGAUACGGGUGAUCCUGGGCUGGCCAUAAUAUUUGUGAUCUACCUUGCCAGCAUUUUGUGAGGAAACUGUGAGAAGGAGGAAAGCCAUGCAAAAUAGUUCCAUCUUUGAACUCUUCAAGAAACAGUAAAAACAGAAAACCAGGAUUCUGAUCCUAAUUAGAGAAAACGUAUUUCCCACCCCCAAGCCUUCUAGAAGCAACAGGGAUCCAGGCCUUUUCUCUGCCUCUUUGGUAAACCUGGCACUGAGGGCAGUUCUCCAGCCAUCUUGAGGAAGCCCUGCUGCCAUGUCCGUCUUCAUCCUCUAUUAGAUGCUGCCGCCGAUGACCACGAGCCCGUCUCCCAAAUGUGCUUCCAAAGACAACUGACACAGGGCAAUGUACAAAUUCCUUUAUUCCGUUAUUUCUCCAAAGACUAGUUAGAGCAGAAUGGUCACCAUAGGGUGGAUGGAUGGAGCCCCUCAAAUUUGCACUGCCCCCUAUGCCUGCAUCCUCUGCCCCACACAGGCAGGGAAAGGGGAGUGGCUGGCUCCCUGCUUACCUCCCUCCCCUAGGUUAAAGGAAAGACAGACUGAUGCACAAGCCCCCCACCCCCAGCUUUGAAGCCAUGUGCUUCACUGCCUUUGGUUUCUGUUCUCUGAGGUCCCCCUGCAACGAUCAGCCUGACAGGCCACUAGAAGGCUCAGUCCGCACCAGAUCCUUCCCUGGGGGAUCCCACUGAGCACGCUUUGCCCCAUCCCUGUGACAGACACCCUUCCGAGGUGCAAGUGGGAUGACUAGCUGAUCAGACACAAUGACUCUAAGGAAGCAGAAUGGAUCACAUAAUGGAUCACACAAUGCAAGAGGUUAGCGCAGAGGGCAGCUCGCACUCCUGACCCUUUGCACAAGUUAGUGACAGGCAAGCAGACACAGAGAAAUCCAUGCAUGUGAGAACUAGGCAGGGCCCCUCUGGCAAUGCUCUUGACCAGGCUGGGAAGGGGGACAAGGGUGAAUUUGAAGGCUGAAAUCUGUCCAUUCCGCUGUGCCGGAACUGAGCCCCCAAGGGACAUCCCACUCUGGAAAGAAAUAAAAAAUGCUUGGAAUACACACAGGGGCACAUUAGGACAGACACACUGGUGGACAAAAAGACUUGAGCAUUUUGCCUGAUUUGAGGCUGAGACAUACACAUCAUACCUACCAAGAUGUGUGAUGUGUAGUGACAUGGUCACAUGUACGUGGCUCACUUUGCCUGCAUUGCCACAUGCCCACAGAAAUAUGCCCCCAUUUGUAAAGAACCAGUCUCUUUCCCUCUCUCUCUCUCUCACACACACACACACACAUACACACACACACACAAACACACAAACACACAUGCAGUACUGCAAAUGUUCAUUCCUAUAAAUGUGCGUAUUUUCCACACACAAUUACAAGGAUACACAUGAUUGUGUAGACACAAGCAUGCAUUCAGAAGUUUUUAUGAUACGCACCAGAUAUCAUAAAAGAGAGUACAGGAUUCUAGAAAGACAGAAGUUCAAUGUCCUUUAUCUAUGUGAUGAUGGGGAGAGGCUGUACUGCCCCUUUCCAAUCCCACUUCUGCCUCCUUCUCUCCCCCCUCCCAAUACCAAACUGCACCUUCUUAUUAGCUAACAAGAAUGAUGAAGCACUGGAAAUGGUGGUUUUUCCGGCUUAUUUCCACGCCUUGCGAACUGCUGUCUUGCAGCUCCCUCCAGUGCCAUGGAGCUAAUGCUAAAACCUUGUUGUCUUUAUAGGAAGGCCCACACAAUGGUUCUUCCCAACACCAGCUUUAUCUCUCUCCACCCCCCAAGAUUCAUGCUGGUGUGGGGAGGAGCCAUAGAUUAGGCAUGUUUUGUGAGGUCUGGAACAGCUCAUUUCACCUUAGUGAUGCAGGAGACACACAUCACAAAGGUCACAUGAGAAGAUCCCCCAUUACGUGGCCCCCAUGGAGGUUGCCACAUGGCGAAGCCAGGUUUCAUCCUUUCGUGGUGGCCACAGCCAUGCAAAGGCCCUUCAACAGUGCUUACUUAGGACAGGCCAAUGGGCAGAAGCUUUGCCGCCCAUGGCAUUCAGGGGCUCACGGGCAUCCAGCAGCCUGCUUGGAGGGAUGGGAGUACCCAACCUAUGAGGGUGCAGUGGCCCUAAACACAUUGAGAGCAUCAGCAGCGCCACCUUAAGGUGAGAUGCUGGCUUCAGCAUCAGCCCUUUGCCCCAUGUGAGAGGUGGAUUUAUUGCAGUUUUUCAACAUGCAGCCAGGAGGAUCAAGUAGAUGGAGGACAUGUACCAACCCAGGCAAAGGAGUGACAGUAUGAUACAGGAGUCCCUGCCAGCCACCAGUAUGGAGCUUUCAGCGCUCCCAUUGGUCAGUCAUGCCACACACUCUGCCCUGUGAGAUGACAGCACACACAAUGGCAAGCCAUACCAUGUGCUUUGUGGACAAACAAUGGAUUAAUGGGCCAGCUCUCUCCAUUUCCAGCCUGCUCCUAUUUCCACUCUGCCUGUGGUCCCUAUGCCCGCCCCCCCAGCCCUGGGCUCCAUGGGGCCAUACGGUGACCAUCGAGUGAGUGACUAGCAGAGACAAUAAGACAUAUGAUAGGCAUUGUGGGUGAUUUACCCUGUUACAGAGACACCAAUGAGGAAACACGCACGGGCCACACAGUGGGCGGCCAGAGACACAGACAAGCAGGCUAGGGGACAAGGAGGGGGGCUCCCCCCUAACCCAGGACGCUCCUUUGUACAAGAUGAGCGAGCGUGGCCUGCCAGAGUUUUUAGUAUCGAUAGUAUUGCAGUCUAACUGAUAUGGCUUUAACUAUUAGGGAGGGAAGGUAGGUAGGCAGGAAGGAUAGGUGGAUGCUGGAUACAGGGCAGUCACCCCCCAGUUCAAACUCAACCCCAACAAUGAAAGCGAAAGCCCAUGGGUACCAGGACACCCUUGGCAGGGAGGCAUGAUCAGGACCUUCCUUCCUCAACCAAACUAUGUACAGAAGAGACCCACAGAACUUCCCCAAGGAAGGCUGGGCUCUUGACUGGUUGCUUUCACUGCUGGCAAAGGACUGUUGGGUGUUGGGCAAGGAAGAAGCCAGCCAGAAGCUCGUUGCUCUGGUGUGUGGCUCUGGAGGAGGAACUGGGGAGUCAGGGGCAGGGAGUGUAUUCCAUGACAGCACAGCCAAGGGGAAGACCUGGCUGUGUGCUAGGGGAGUCUGGAGAUCACCACAUCUGUCGGCUGAACCAGGCUGUGGCAGUGGAAGAGUGGAGAGUCUUCCCACAGGCUAUGAGGCAGCUCUUCUCUUAAACCGGGGUGUGUGUGUGUGUGUGUGUGUGUGUGUGUGUGUGUGUGUGUGUGUG